Molecule: ribosomal RNA, 465 nt
Filed under: uncultured bacterium
Lineage: Bacteria
Description: partial 16S ribosomal RNA
Rfam family: Bacterial small subunit ribosomal RNA
Source: RNAcentral
GACGAACGCUGGCGGCGUGCUUAACACAUGCAAGUCGAACGGAAAGGCCCUGCUUGCAGGGUACUCGAGUGGCGAACGGGUGGGUAGCACGUGGGUGAUCUGCCCUGCACUUCGGGAUAAGCCUGGGAAACUGGGUCUAAUACCGGAUAGGAGCCAUUUUUAGUGUGAUGGUUGGAAAGUUUUUUCGGUGUAGGAUGAGCUCGCGGCCUAUCAGCUUGUUGGUGGGGUAAUGGCCUACCAAGGCGGCGACGGGUAGCCGGCCUGAGAGGGUGGACGGCCACAUUGGGACUGAGAUACGGCCCAGACUCCUACGGGAGGCAGCAGUGGGGAAUAUUGCACAAUGGGCGCAAGCCUGAUGCAGCGACGCCGCGUGGGGGAUGACGGCCUUCGGGUUGUAAACUCCUUUCGCUAGGGACGAAGCUUUUUGUGACGGUACCUAGAUAAGGAGCACCGGCUAACUACGUG